GGCGAUGUAGUGUAGCGGUUAUCACUCAAGAUUCUGACGUCCAGUAUUCUUGUAACCCCGGUUCGAAUCCGGGCAUUGCCU
This 81-nucleotide transfer RNA is filed under the name Galerina marginata CBS 339.88. It matches the Rfam family "tRNA". Rfam says of the family: Transfer RNA (tRNA) molecules are approximately 80 nucleotides in length. Lineage: Eukaryota; Fungi; Basidiomycota; Agaricomycetes; Agaricales; Galerinaceae. The record is from Rfam by way of RNAcentral.